ACCUGGAAUCAAAAAUAAGAGCAAAAACAAAGGCAUGCCAUGAAUUGGAUUUGACAAAUUAAAAGUUAUUGGAAAAUUUGUUAAACGACAAAUUCAUAUAUAUUAUUCGGCUGAAGUGCAUGUCAUCAAAGAGCUUCUUGUCUUGCGAGUGUGUACAACUCUGCGGCUGCCGCAUGUAUUCACAAAUUAACAUUUUCAUCGAAUUUUCAUGUUAGUUUGCGGCAACAGGAGAACAACAACACGACGACGACGACGACAACAAAACGGCAGCUGAAGCAAAUGCUAACUGCUACAAGAUCGUCGGGUUGACAUUGGAACUGUGUCGAACGUAUCUCAGUGAUAACAAUGAGAGGAGAGACUCUUACAUAAAUAUGGCAUUGGCUAAUUGGAAUUACAAAAGAGGCAUUUGAAAAAGCGCCACAACAACUGUCAAUAGGCACAGCGGGCGACAGACGGAAAGAUAAUAAAUAAAUAAAUGCUUAGAUAAAUGGAGAAUAAAUAAAUGGCGAUUGGAAGUACGCCUCACGCAUGCGCAAUGAGCCAGUGGACAAGAUCCCAGCCAAAUAGCUGAAUAUGUAACAGGAAGCAACCUAAUUGAGAGUCUAUCGGAAACCCCAUUUUGCUAUUGCAUUGCACUAGCAGGACGAUAUUGAAUAUCCUCUGCAGCGCAAAGACAAACAGAAGGAAGCAUAUUAAAACAUAAUUUAAUGAUACACACACACUCAUUUUUUAGGGUGUCCACUGAAGCUAUUAAAUGCCAAUUCCCAAUUUCUACGUGCGGGGGUGACAAAGCGCGGCAGCGCGAGGGGCGCGUAUUUACAGGAAAUGUGAGCAGCCCAGGGAAAUGAGGGCAUACUGGAAGCUAGGCAUAAAACCAAUUUCCGAUCAAGCGAAAGGGCAGCGAUGCAGUGAGGCUGAACGGGCAAA
Long non-coding RNA from Drosophila novamexicana, 927 nucleotides. RefSeq lists it as uncharacterized. Lineage: Eukaryota; Metazoa; Arthropoda; Insecta; Diptera; Drosophilidae. The record is from RefSeq and is a predicted model, not a curated record. The transcript is spliced from 5 exons.